GUGUCAGCAGCCGCGGUAAUACGAAGGUGGCAAGCGUUGUUCGGAAUUACUGGGCGUAAAGCGCGUGUAGGCGGCUCUUCAAGUCAGGCGUGAAAGCCCUGAGCUCAACUCAGGAACUGCGUUUGAUACUGUCGAGCUAGAGUGUGGAAGGGGCAAUCGGAAUUCCGUGUGUAGCGGUGAAAUGCGUAGAUAUACGGAGGAACACCAGAGGCGAAGGCGGAUUGCUGGGCCAACACUGACGCUGAGACGCGAAAGCCAGGGUAGCAAACGGGAUUAGAUACCCCCGUAGUCC
Molecule: ribosomal RNA, 292 nt
Filed under: uncultured bacterium
Lineage: Bacteria
Description: partial 16S ribosomal RNA
Rfam family: Bacterial small subunit ribosomal RNA
Source: RNAcentral